Long non-coding RNA from Magallana angulata, 824 nucleotides. RefSeq lists it as uncharacterized. The record is from RefSeq and is a predicted model, not a curated record. NCBI's taxonomy places the organism in Eukaryota, Metazoa, Mollusca, Bivalvia, Ostreida, Ostreidae. The transcript is spliced from 3 exons.
CUGAAAGGAUGAAAAAGUCAACAGAAAACAAAUUCUUCUUCUAUUGCUACAAAGGACAGGACUUAUGAACUAAGUCUUGUCAGCGGUGAAGAUUUGUGCUUAGGUCCAAACACUGUUUCACUUUGGGUUUGCCAGAGUAACUGCAUAGGAGAGUUGAUUAAAAUCAACUCCCAAAAAUGAUAAUGUGUCAAAGAAGAUAUCUUGAUAUUUUCCCUUUCAUCAAUUUCAAUUGUAUUUCUUUCACAGGUAUGUGUAUUUUAAGUAAAAAUCAUCAAAAACAGAUUGAAGCAAUAACUUGGGAUAGAGUAAAGUUCUUUAUAAAUAAUAUUAUUUGUAAAAUUUCGAUAACUUAGCCUAUUUUUUACUGAACAAAGGCAAUUGUUAAAGUCUCCAAAAAAUAAAAUAGCUUUAACAGUUGGAUGGUAAAUACAUGCAAACUUUUUGGGGGGCAGGAGUUGAUAUUGCUAAAUAUGUCAAGUUUUCUAUAUUAUAGUUGAUAUCCUUCUCUCUCUCUCUCUCUCUCUCUCUCUCUCUCUCUCUCUCUCUCUCUCUCUCUCAAUGUCAUGAACAUGAACAAAAGUUGUCAUUAAAAAAUUCUGAUGAAAAUGAAUUACACAAAAUUAUUUUACAUUUUCCUGAAACUGUGUUUGCAUGUUUGAGGACUUUCUGUGAUGGUUUGGGGCUAACAAUGUUUUCUACCUUCUACAUACCGGGCCGGUACAUGUACAUGCUAACCUACAGUGGUGAAAAAGAGCAUUGAUGCAGAGGGUGUCAGUAACAGCAUUUGUCAUUUUGUGAAUGAUGCAGACAAAACAGCCAAUUCA